CGACUCUGUCGAGAAAAAGGCUCCUAACAGAGGAAGCGAAAAAGACAGACCCCGAUCCUGCAGUUAAAACCUUCUUUAAGCUGGACCGUCACGACGGCACCAGCAACGGGACGGCACGGUUGCCCCAGCUGGGCACUGUAGGUCAAUCUCCCUACACGAGCGCCCCGCCGCUGUCCCACACCCCCAAUGCCGACUUCCAGCCCCCAUACUUCCCCCCACCCUACCAGCCUAUCUACCCCCAGUCGCAAGAUCCUUACUCCCACGUCAACGACCCCUACAGCCUGAACCCCCUGCACGCCCAGCCGCAGCCGCAGCACCCAGGCUGGCCCGGCCAGAGGCAGAGCCAGGAGUCUGGGCUCCUGCACACGCACCGGGGGCUGCCUCACCAGCUGUCGGGCCUGGAUCCUCGCAGGGACUACAGGCGGCACGAGGACCUCCUGCACGGCCCACACGCGCUCAGCUCAGGACUCGGAGACCUCUCGAUCCACUCCUUACCUCACGCCAUCGAGGAGGUCCCGCAUGUAGAAGACCCGGGUAUUAACAUCCCAGAUCAAACUGUAAUUAAGAAA
RNAcentral lists this small RNA (569 nucleotides) under Pan troglodytes (chimpanzee). Its description in RNAcentral is "processed transcript". Lineage: Eukaryota; Metazoa; Chordata; Mammalia; Primates; Hominidae. The record is from RNAcentral.